CCGGGAAUUUUGCGCAAUGGACGAAAGUCUGACGCAGCGACACCGCGUGUGGGAAGACGCUCCUCGGAGUGUAAACCACUGUGGCAGGGGAGGAAUUUUGACAGUACCCUGCAAGAAAGCACCAGCUAACUACGUGCCAGAAGCUUCGGUAAUACGUAGGGUGCAAGCGUUAUCCGGAUUUACUGGGCAUAAAGGGUCCGUCGGCGGUUUGAUAUGUUCCUUGUCCAAGCCUGAGGCUCAACUUCAGAAAGGCAAGGAAAACUGUCAGACUAGAGUAUAUUCGAGGAAAUUGGAAUUCUUGGUGGAGGGGUGAAAUCCGUAGAUAUCAAGAGGAACACCACGCGCGAAGGCAGAUUUCUAGGAUAAUACUGACGCUCAGGGACGAAAGCUCGGGUAGCAAAGCGG
This 405-nucleotide ribosomal RNA is filed under the name uncultured bacterium. RNAcentral describes it as "bacterial SSU rRNA". It matches the Rfam family "Bacterial small subunit ribosomal RNA", at positions 355 to 776 of the family's 1533-position model. The record is from RNAcentral.